GAAUGUUCUAGUAUGUAGGUCAAGAUGGUGAGAAAUGUUGAAAUCAUGGUGCUUGGGGAUGUUGGAGGCAGAAUAACCAUGUGAUCUGAAGAUAGUCACUAGAUAUCUUUAUGCCAUCAAAAGAUCCCAGUGAAGCAAGACAUUCGACAGCAGCUCUGAUCCUUGCCUGCACUUACAAAGGCAUCUUCCCAAGGGUUUCCCUAAGUGGAAAUACUUUCUUACAAGGAAGUCCAAGAACAUCCAGACAUCAUGGAGCUUCCCGCAUGAGUGCCACUGUGAGCCACUGGAGGUCUGCAGUGCCAGAGCUGAGGGCCCUGGGAACCCAAGCAGCCUUUUCAGGGUCCCACGGAGGCCAUCAAACAGCACAUGUGGUUCUGUUCAGCUGAUCUGGAGAAUCUUCUGUGUCAAAGUAAAGUGAACAAUUGUGCCCUGAAGCUCCAAUCUGAAUAUCUGGGGCUGCCUGGUGUGACCUUGGAGUCGAGUGGUCAUGCUGGGGCCAAGCUGGAGAGACAUGCACAGUGGCAGUCAGAGACAGGGGCAAAUACCAGCAGCUAAAGUAAAACGUCUGGGGGGCCAGAACAGGAAGAAGUUGACCAGAGGGAUGCGAUCGUGGCAUUGAAGUUGGUGGGUGCCUACCCAGGCCUGGCUUUCUUCUAAAGAAAGGAGACCAGGGCCCUGUCUGAGUAGACAUUUCUGCCUAUUCCCAAGUGGAUUCUGCUAUUCCAGGCCUUGAUUCCACCAUACUGGAAUGUUGUAGCAUUCUGUAAAAAUUAAAAACAGAACUACCACAUGAUCCAGCACUCUUGAUACUGGGUUACAAGCAAAGAAAAUGAAAUCAGUAUGUCACAGGGACAUCCGCACUCCCAAGUUUGUUUCAGCACUGUUUACCAUAGCCAAGAAAUGACAAAACCUAGGUGCCCAUCGAUGGAAGAAUGGAUAAGGAACAUGUGGAUGCAUAUACAUGAUGGAAUACAAUUCAGCCCUAAAAAUGACGAAAUCUUGUCAUUUGAAAAACAUGUACGGAACUGGAGAUAAUUAUGUUAUGUGAAAUAAGCCAGGCACAGAAAGACAAGUACUACACUAUCUCACUCAUAAGGAGAAUGUAGAAAAGUCUGCAUUUACAUAUA
This 1127-nucleotide long non-coding RNA is filed under the name Chinchilla lanigera (long-tailed chinchilla). RNAcentral describes it as "lncRNA (ENSCLAG00000024236.1)". Lineage: Eukaryota; Metazoa; Chordata; Mammalia; Rodentia; Chinchillidae. The record is from RNAcentral.